Long non-coding RNA from Bufo gargarizans (Asiatic toad), 952 nucleotides. RefSeq lists it as uncharacterized. Lineage: Eukaryota; Metazoa; Chordata; Amphibia; Anura; Bufonidae. The transcript is spliced from 2 exons. The record is from RefSeq and is a predicted model, not a curated record.
CGGAUCCAUGUAAAACGGACCGCAAAACACUGAAAAAGCCAUACGGUCGUGUGCAAUAGGCCUAAAAGGUAUUUGCUGUACAUUUUACACCGUGGUUAAAAAAAAGCGGAGACAGAAAUUUUUCUGGACACGGAGAUGAAAUGUAUAAUUAAGGCAGUAAAAAUGACAUUAAACAAAACACAUUCAGGACUUGCCUAUAUUUGAUGUUCCACAGUCAGCAAAUCAACCUUGACAUUAAUAUUACAAUUGUGUGAGUGUGUUCCCCAAAUCCUCUCUAUAGAGAGAGAGUUAAAUGAUAACAUUCUGGUUGCCUGCAGCCACCACUAGAGGGAGCUUAGAGCAUACAGUUCCAUUUUUAAGUUCAAAGAGUACGCAGUGCACGCACCCUAGUGGUGACUGAAUGUUAUAAUUUAACUCUAUGUCUAUGCAGGUGAUUCAGAGUUCAAUAGCGGAAAAACAAACUUCAGACCACUAUAAAGAUAAUAAAAAAUUUGGGACAAAUCUAGAUUACAAAAAAGAAAAAAAAAAAAAAAAAAGGAAAAGGUGACGUUCUACGGUGGACAUUCACAUUAAUGCAAAACUCUAAUCAAAAACCGCUUUGUAGAUCUCACUGCAGUGGUACGAAGGUUAUCUCAAUCUUGUACUUUUGCAGUAGCAAUGCAUGCAAGGUACGGGAGAGCACCUGGCACAUCACUAAUACCUCUGGCUGCUGUAACUGUAACACACCAAGCUGUUGUAACUGUCCAGUGGGGACCACACAGCAGGAUUCAAAAAUAUCGAGGGAGAUUUUUACACAAGAUUGAUACACAUUAGAAGUUUUCACCUUGUAGUUCUUGGCACAAGUGACACCAGCAGUGGGGGUGCGGAGACUGGUAACACUUUUUCAUCGAUAAUACUGGACUAAGGGCAUUUUACAUGUUACAAAUAAAGCUGCAGAGUCAUGAAAAAAAAA